This 2326-nucleotide unclassified non-coding RNA is filed under the name Hevea brasiliensis (rubber tree). Lineage: Eukaryota; Viridiplantae; Streptophyta; Magnoliopsida; Malpighiales; Euphorbiaceae. The record is from RNAcentral.
GAAGAAGCAUCAUGCCAAGCAUAAAAACAAGCGUAAAGAAUGCAGUAAAAUUUAUUCAUUAAAAAGAAAAAAAGAAAAGAAUUACAUCUGCUUAAAUGGCAUAAAAACAAGGGUUGAGCUGCCAAACGCUCGAGCUCAUAUAAGCUCGACUUCUCAAUGCAUAAUGCAUUGAGAAUUCUGUAUCAGCGUAAAGUGUAAACCAAUGACAGCCAUUACUACAUCACUGCAUGAACACUACAAUUAUCCCGCAGAGUGCAACAGAAUGCAAGGCCACCAAGAAUGCUGUCAGAUAGGCAAUAAGUGCAUGAAUUUUGCAUUUGGAUUCAGUCUUCAAAAUAAAUGCUCAUCCUUUCUUCCAUUGUUCUUAAAUUUAUGCAGCAGUCCAAAAAAGAAAGAUCAGGAUUUACCAAUAAUCCUUACAAGAACAAGAACCAUCUCUAAAAUGGUGAAAUUGACUACGAUCCCUCACAACAAUUUCUCUGUUGAAGACCUUUGAUAUGAGUUUGAUUGCCAAAUGACAAUCAGCACAUACUCUCAAAUUCUUGACAACCCUGAUUGGGGUUCCUGAAGGGGUAUUAAUGAGCAUAAAAGCAAUUGCAAUCUUCUCACUAUGAUAAAAUAAAGCAUUUUCCUUUUCUUCCUCCUCUACAUCUGCAAGCACAUUUGCCGUGUGAGGCACAUAACCUUCCAAUUUCAGCUUCUUUGAGAUCUCUACCAACAUCACAUAUAUUGCCUCACUUUGAGGAUGAGUUCUAUCACCCAUAACAAAUUCAUGUACACGAUUUCCCAGCUCUACAAGGCUAUGCCCUGGAGUUUUUCUUACUCCUUCACUAAGCAUUAUCCUUCUUACAUUAUGAACAUCCGACCAGCGUUGCUCAGAUGCAUAAAGAUUAGAGAUUAGCACAUAAUCUCCGCAAUGUUUAGGCUCUAACUGUAAGAGCUGGGCUCUUGCAAACUCUCCCAAAGCCAAAUGCCCAUGAAUUGUGCAUGCACCGAGCAAGGUCCUCCAGACAACAGCAUUAGGCUGCAGUGGCAUAUUCUGAAUAUAUUCAUGUGCUUCAUUCACCAAGCCUGCUCUACCUAACAAAUCAACCAUACAUCCAUAGUGUUCCAUUCUAGGCACAAUGCCAUAUUUCACUUUCAUCCUUUUGAAGUGAUUGAACCCCUCAUUCACCAUGCCACAAUGACUGCAAGCAUAUAAGACUCCAACAUAAGUGAUCUCACCGGGCACAAAUUGCUGUUUCUCCAUCUCCCUGAAAUGCUCAAGUGCUUCCAUACCAAAACCAUUAACAGCCAAUCCAACAAUCAAAGAAGUCCAAGAAACCACAUUCCUCUCCUCCAUCUCACCAAAAACUUUUUGUGCCUCUAUGAUGUUUCCACACUUUGCAUAAAGGUCCAAAAGGGCAUUAUUAGCAUGCAUAUUCUCAUUCAACCCAACUUUGACCAUAUACGCAUGAACCCUCCUACCCAAGGCCAAAGCGCCAAGCUCAGCACAAGCAGACAGCAAGCUAACUAUAGUGAAUCCAUCUGGUUCAACACCCUCCAAACCCAUUUCUUUAUAUAGUGUUAAAGCCUCAUUGGGUUUUCCAUUUAGAGCAAAUCCAUUAAUCACAGUAUUCCAUGCGACAAGAUCUCUUUCAGGCAUUAAUUCAAACAGCUUGUAUGCAUUCUCGUAAUGACCACAGGCAGCAUACAUAUGAACCAAACUGUUUUGAACAAACACCGAUGACUCAAAUCCAUUUCUUAUAACAAUUGAAUGUAUGUUUUCACCUACUCUAACGUUCACCAUCUUAGACACAGCCUUUAAAAGGAACGGGUAUGUGUGCGUAUCCGGUUCAGUGGAGUUCACAUGCAUAUGGUGAUACAAAUCAAUGGCUGGUCCUGGAUUUUCACUCUCAGCAUAGCCUCUAAUCAUAGUAUUCCAGGUGAAAACAUUUGGGCUUUGGAUUUGGUUAAAGAUACUAUGAGCAUAGGUCAUGGGGGCAGAGAGGGACACAAUAGAGUAUAUAAGGUGCUUGCCCAUGUCUGGGUUGGUGGGUGGAACACCAUGCCUGAUGGAGAAGGCAUGAAUUUGUUUCAGUUUGAAUUUGGAAGAGGCACAAAUUUGCAAAAGGGCAAUGCAUUUUUUGACAAUGUAAGGUAUUGGGUUUUCUGGACAGGCUGAUCUUGGGAUUAGAUCAAUUGUCUGAAUUUGAGAUGAGGAUGGUGCGAGAUAAUGAGAGUGGAGAACCAAUGGUUGGCUACUCCGGGUAUUUGAGAGCAUGAGAACAUCUGACUAGCCAAAGUUUAAUAACUUAAUAUGGCUUGAAAGUAUCCAAGCUACGAA